UCGCAAUGUAUCAGUUUGUUUGAACUGGAAACGGCUCUUUCUCCCUCACUUGGGUUUCCUCCCACCACCCUAUCACAUUUAUCUUCAUCCCCUCACUCUUCACAUCUUCCCUGUGUGCUUUUCUGUGUCUUCUUCUGCCUGUUUAAUGUUGUUCCAUCUCCUCUGUAUCAUUUAUCUUCCUCAAUUUCUCCUACUUUAAAAAACUUGCCUUGCCCUGUAGUUAUUUGAGAUUAAUGUACCUGUCCAUAUGUCAGGAUUUUCUACUAGGCUUGAGGAAGUGUAUAUAUUCCAGGAAACUAGAAAAUCUGUCCCAGCCAAUCAAAAAGUUAUCUCAAUUGGCUAUUCGCUCAUUCGUAUUUCACUUCCCUGGCAGUUUAAAGUAUCUUUUAGUUGAUGUAUUAUGAUUGUAGUGCACCAAAAGAGUUGAUGCUGUCGAAUUUAUUUAUUUAUUUUUUGGUUGUUCAGAUUUGGUCCCUUUCUGUGAGCUGCUCUGCAGAGUUGAAAGACCUUGCCUGUGGGGUCCGCGUUCAGAGUGGUGGAAAUGACCUCUUCUGAUUUUUUUUUUUUUUUUUUUUAAUCGACAGAAACCUUGCUGAUCUCACAGCUCCCCCUCUCUUCCCCUACUGGGCAGAUGAAGACCUUUAUCCCUCUAUCUCUCUGUGACACAGCAAGACUCUGUAUUUUCCUGCUUUGCUCUUCAUCCACCUCUCCUUUAUAUUCCUCAUAUAUUUUCUCACCUUUAACCUGCCACGACCGUUUAUCCUGCACACCAUUAUUCCUCCCGGGACCCCCAAAAAAUCAAAAUGUCACUGCAAAGACUCAUCCUGUGCUUUCCCAUUCAAAACACAUAAUUUACACACAUUAUGCUUUUUAGAUUUUUGCUUUGUUUGCAUAUAAAAUUUUGCAAAGUCCACCGAUAAAAGGAUUUAAUGUGUCCACCAAUAAAACCCUGCUGUUUUAGCCACCUGCAAUGCUUCAGUUCUAUACCUCACUAUAUAACACACUGCCAAGCAGCUAGCUGUCAAACAAAAACUUACUUCAGAUGAAACCAUCUGUAUCACAGCCAACUAUUAUUUCUUGUUCUAAACUCUAAAAUAUCUCAACUGUGCCUCAGCGAACCAUGCCAAAUCCUCCAACUGUUACAAGAUUAAAUAUGUGUUGAUGCACUUGCAGGAUUUGACAAAAAUGAAGAGCCCACAAUAGGUGAAUACCUGUCUGUUUAGUCUCUGUGCAAAACAAAGCUAAUAUAACACUAACACUACCAUCUUGUCUUCUUUGUGCUGCCACAUGUGCGACAGCUACAGUCGCCAUUAACACCUGUUGCUAGGGUAUACAAGGGUCAUGCUAAUAGAUGAGGACAUUAGAAAUUGACAAUGGUCAAAGUGAUUGGCGAAGGCUUGUCAGACAGGGUGAUUUUUAGCUAAUUUCCCUAUUGAGUUAUUA
Astatotilapia calliptera (eastern happy) is the source of this 1443-nucleotide long non-coding RNA. The record is from Ensembl. NCBI's taxonomy places the organism in Eukaryota, Metazoa, Chordata, Actinopteri, Cichliformes, Cichlidae.